GUUUUGCGUAAGGGAUAGCAGUGGAAAUCCUUUUAUUUUUCUCGUUUUUUACGAGAGAAAUAAAAGAUUGUAACGGAUAGCCCGACCCUGA
Molecule: small RNA, 91 nt
Filed under: Flavobacterium flevense
Lineage: Bacteria; Pseudomonadati; Bacteroidota; Flavobacteriia; Flavobacteriales; Flavobacteriaceae
Description: Flavo-1 RNA
Rfam family: Flavo-1 RNA
Source: RNAcentral